This 497-nucleotide ribosomal RNA is filed under the name uncultured bacterium. Its description in RNAcentral is "partial 16S ribosomal RNA". It matches the Rfam family "Bacterial small subunit ribosomal RNA", at positions 28 to 507 of the family's 1533-position model. The record is from RNAcentral.
GAUGAACGCUGGCGGCGUGCCUAAUACAUGCAAGUAGAACGCUGAAGGAAGGAGCUUGCUCUUUCCGGAUGAGUUGCGAACGGGUGAGUAACGCGUAGGUAACCUGCCUGGUAGCGGGGGAUAACUAUUGGAAACGAUAGCUAAUACCGCAUAACAGUAGAUGUUGCAUGAUAUCUACUUAAAAGGUGCAAUUGCACCACUACCAGAUGGACCUGCGUUGUAUUAGCUAGUUGGUGAGGUAACGGCUCACCAAGGCGACGAUACAUAGCCGACCUGAGAGGGUGAUCGGCCAAACUGGGGCUGAGACACGGCCCAGACUCCUACGGGAGGCAGCAGUAGGGAAUCUUCGGCAAUGGACGGAAGUCUGACCGAGCAACGCCGCGUGAGUGAAGAAGGUUUUCGGAUCGUAAAGCUCUGUUGUAAGAGAAGAAAGAGUGUGAGAGUGGAAAGUUCACACUGUGACGGUAUCUUACCAGAAAGGGACGGCUAACUACGUG